GCCGCGGGAAUUCGAUUGCUCAACCCUGGGGCGGGGGGCGAUACUGCCGGGCUAGGGGGCGGAAGAGGCCGCCGGUACUCCGGGGGUAGGGGCGAAAUCCGUUAAUCCCCGGAGGACCACCAGUGGCGAAAGCGGGCGGCCAGAACGCGCCCGACGGUGAGGGGCGAAAGCCGGGGGAGCAAACCGGGCUCAGGUCGGCGUUGCGCAGACAAUCUAAUCAUCCAGUCCCACCACGCGCGCCAACCCCCUCAUCUUUACCAAGCCGACCUGGCCCGGGCUCAAAGGGGAUUAGAUACCCCUGUAGUCCCGGCCGUAAACGA
RNAcentral lists this ribosomal RNA (320 nucleotides) under uncultured prokaryote. RNAcentral describes it as "bacterial SSU rRNA". It matches the Rfam family "Archaeal small subunit ribosomal RNA", at positions 540 to 760 of the family's 1478-position model. The record is from RNAcentral.